UACGUAGGGGGCUAGCGUUGUCCGGAAUCAUUGGGCGUAAAGCGCGCGUAGGCGGCCCGGUAAGUCCGCUGUAAAAGUCAAAGGCUCAACCUUUGAAUGUCAGUGGAUACUGCCGGGCUAGAGUCCGGAAGAGGCGAGUGGAACUCCUGGUGUAGCGGUGGAAUGCGCAGAUAUCAGGAAGAACACCGACGGCGAAGGCAGCUCGCUGGGACGGUACUGACGCUGAGGCGCGAAAGCGUGGGGAGCGAAUAGG
This 253-nucleotide ribosomal RNA is filed under the name uncultured bacterium. RNAcentral's name for it is "partial 16S ribosomal RNA". It matches the Rfam family "Bacterial small subunit ribosomal RNA", at positions 524 to 776 of the family's 1533-position model. The record is from RNAcentral.